ACGCUGGCGGCGUGCCUAAUACAUGCAAGUAGAACGCUGAAGCUUGGUGCUUGCACCGAGCGGAAGAGUUGCGAACGGGUGAGUAACGCGUAGGUAACCUGCCUCUUAGCGGGGGAUAACUAUUGGAAACGAUAGCUAAUACCGCAUAAAAGUCGGCAUUGCAUGAUGUUGACUUGAAAGGUGCAACUGCAUCACUAAGAGAUGGACCUGCGUUGUAUUAGCUAGUUGGUGAGGUAACGGCUCACCAAGGCGACGAUACAUAGCCGACCUGAGAGGGUGAUCGGCCACACUGGGACUGAGACACGGCCCAGACUCCUACGGGAGGCAGCAGUAGGGAAUCUUCGGCAAUGGACGGAAGUCUGACCGAGCAACGCCGCGUGAGUGAAGAGGGUUUUCGGAUCGUAAAGCUCUGUUGUAAGAGAAGAACGAGUGUGAGAGCGGAAAGUUCACACUGUGACGGUAACUUACCAGAAAGGGACGGCUAACUACGUGCCAGCAGCCGCGGUAAUACGUAGGUCCCGAGCGUUAUCCGGAUUUAUUGGGCGUAAAGCGAGCGCAGGCGGUUAGAUAAGUCUGAAGUUAAAGGCUGUGGCUUAACCAUAGUACGCUUUGGAAACUGUUUAACCUGAGUGCAGAAGGGGAGAGUGGAAUUCCAUGUGUAGCGGUGAAAUGCGUAGAUAUAUGGAGGAACACCGGUGGCGAAAGCGGCUCUCUGGUCUGUAACUGACGCUGAGGCUCGAAAGCGUGGGGAGCAAACAGGAUUAGAUACCCUGGUAGUCCACGCCGUAAACGAUGAGUGCUAGGUGUUGGGUCCUUUCCGGGACUCAGUGCCGCAGCUAACGCAUUAAGCACUCCGCCUGGGGAGUACGACCGCAAGGUUGAAACUCAAAGGAAUUGACGGGGGCCCGCACA
RNAcentral lists this ribosomal RNA (912 nucleotides) under uncultured bacterium. RNAcentral's name for it is "bacterial SSU rRNA". It matches the Rfam family "Bacterial small subunit ribosomal RNA", at positions 33 to 927 of the family's 1533-position model. The record is from RNAcentral.